RNAcentral lists this ribosomal RNA (254 nucleotides) under uncultured bacterium. Its description in RNAcentral is "partial 16S ribosomal RNA". It matches the Rfam family "Bacterial small subunit ribosomal RNA", at positions 524 to 776 of the family's 1533-position model. The record is from RNAcentral.
UACGUAGGUGGCGAGCGUUGUCCGGAAUCAUUGGGCGUAAAGAGCUCGUAGGCGGCUCAGUAAGUCGGCUGUGAAAGCCCGGGGCUCAACCCCGGAACUACAGUCGAUACUGCUGUGGCUAGAGUCCGGUAGAGGAGAGUGGAAUUCCCGGUGUAGCGGUGGAAUGCGCAGAUAUCGGGAGGAACACAAGUAGCGAAGGCGGCUCUCUGGGCCGGUACUGACGCUGAGGAGCGAAAGCGUGGGGAGCAAACAGG